AGCGAACGCUGGCGGCAGGCUUAACACAUGCAAGUCGAGCGGGCGUAGCAAUACGUCAGCGGCAGACGGGUGAGUAACGCGUGGGAACGUACCUUUUGGUUCGGAACAACACAGGGAAACUUGUGCUAAUACCGGAUAAGCCCUUACGGGGAAAGAUUUAUCGCCGAAAGAUCGGCCCGCGUCUGAUUAGCUAGUUGGUGAGGUAACGGCUCACCAAGGCGACGAUCAGUAGCUGGUCUGAGAGGAUGAUCAGCCACAUUGGGACUGAGACACGGCCCAAACUCCUACGGGAGGCAGCAGUGGGGAAUAUUGGACAAUGGGGGGCAACCCUGAUCCAGCAAUGCCGCGUGAGUGAUGAAGGCCUUAGGGUUGUAAAGCUCUUUUGCCAGGGAAGAUGAUGACUGUACCUGGAGAAUAAGCCCCCGGCUAACUUCGUGCCAGCAGCCGCGGUAAU
RNAcentral lists this ribosomal RNA (454 nucleotides) under uncultured bacterium. RNAcentral's name for it is "bacterial SSU rRNA". It matches the Rfam family "Bacterial small subunit ribosomal RNA", at positions 29 to 524 of the family's 1533-position model. The record is from RNAcentral.